This 621-nucleotide ribosomal RNA is filed under the name Saccharomyces cerevisiae (brewer's yeast). RNAcentral's name for it is "partial large subunit ribosomal RNA". It matches the Rfam family "Eukaryotic large subunit ribosomal RNA", at positions 35 to 664 of the family's 3401-position model. Lineage: Eukaryota; Fungi; Ascomycota; Saccharomycetes; Saccharomycetales; Saccharomycetaceae. The record is from RNAcentral.
UGCAUAAAUCCACAAUCGGAGGAAAAGAAACCAACCGGGAUUGCCUUAGUAACGGCGAGUGAAGCGGCAAAAGCUCAAAUUUGAAAUCUGGUACCUUCGGUGCCCGAGUUGUAAUUUGGAGAGGGCAACUUUGGGGCCGUUCCUUGUCUAUGUUCCUUGGAACAGGACGUCAUAGAGGGUGAGAAUCCCGUGUGGCGAGGAGUGCGGUUCUUUGUAAAGUGCCUUCGAAGAGUCGAGUUGUUUGGGAAUGCAGCUCUAAGUGGGUGGUAAAUUCCAUCUAAAGCUAAAUAUUGGCGAGAGACCGAUAGCGAACAAGUACAGUGAUGGAAAGAUGAAAAGAACUUUGAAAAGAGAGUGAAAAAGUACGUGAAAUUGUUGAAAGGGAAGGGCAUUUGAUCAGACAUGGUGUUUUGUGCCCUCUGCUCCUUGUGGGUAGGGGAAUCUCGCAUUUCACUGGGCCAGCAUCAGUUUUGGUGGCAGGAUAAAUCCAUAGGAAUGUAGCUUGCCUCGGUAAGUAUUAUAGCCUGUGGGAAUACUGCCAGCUGGGACUGAGGACUGCGACGUAAGUCAAGGAUGCUGGCAUAAUGGUUAUAUGCCGCCCGUCUUAACCCCCGGGACCAA